AUACGGAGGGUGCAAGCGUUAAUCGGAAUUACUGGGCGUAAAGCGCGCGUAGGCGGCUUUGUAAGUCGGAUGUGAAAGCCCCGGGCUCAACCUGGGAAUUGCAUUCGAUACUGCAGAGCUAGAGUAUGGUAGAGGGAAGUGGAAUUUCCGGUGUAGCGGUGAAAUGCGUAGAUAUCGGAAGGAACACCAGUGGCGAAGGCGACUUCCUGGGCCAAUACUGACGCUAAGGUGCGAAAGCGUGGGGAGCAAACAGGAUUAGAAACCCCGGUAGUCC
Molecule: ribosomal RNA, 274 nt
Filed under: uncultured bacterium
Lineage: Bacteria
Description: partial 16S ribosomal RNA
Rfam family: Bacterial small subunit ribosomal RNA
Source: RNAcentral